RNAcentral lists this ribosomal RNA (505 nucleotides) under uncultured bacterium. Its description in RNAcentral is "partial 16S ribosomal RNA". It matches the Rfam family "Bacterial small subunit ribosomal RNA", at positions 29 to 523 of the family's 1533-position model. The record is from RNAcentral.
AUUGAACGCUGGCGGCAGGCCUAACACAUGCAAGUCGGACGGUAGCACAGAGAGCUUGCUCUCGGGUGACGAGUGGCGGACGGGUGAGUAAUGUCUGGGAAACUGCCCGAUGGAGGGGGAUAACUACUGGAAACGGUAGCUAAUACCGCAUAACGUCGCAAGACCAAAGUGGGGGACCUUCGGGCCUCACACCAUCGGAUGUGCCCAGAUGGGAUUAGCUAGUAGGUGGGGUAAUGGCUCACCUAGGCGACGAUCCCUAGCUGGUCUGAGAGGGAUGAACGGCCACACUGGAACAGAGACGCGGUCCAGACUCCUGCGGGAGGCAGGAGUGGGGAAUAUUGCACAAUGGGCGCAAGCUUGAGGCAGCCAUGCGGGGUGUAGGAAGAAGGCCUUCGGGUUGUAAAGUACUUUCAGCGGGGAGGAAGGCGGUGGAGUUAAUAACUUCCCCGAUUGACGUUACCCGCAGAAGAAGCACCGGCUAACUCCGUGCCAGCACCCGCGGUAA